GGAACUUGGGUGUAUCACGAUCCGGUUUCACCUAUAUACAAAUAGUCCCCUGGUUUCUCUGAGAGUACACGACGAGAAACGACAUGAGCUCCUAUUUCCUACUUCGAUACAUCGUGACAGAAAUGAGAAAACAUUCGAAACGUCUCGUCAGUCACGUCACAAUGGCAUUAAAUUCAUAUAAGCCGCCCAUCGGGUAUCUCAGAAAGCGAAACAUCACCGAGUUCCUAUAAAUACCACCUCCUUUGUUUAUUUUUACUUUACAUCAAACCUUCUACCCUCUUAUUCCUAGGAUAUCAAUAUUCUUUAGCACUUUUACCCCCGUUAUUCAAGGUCCUUUGCAAAAAAUAGUACUCAUCUUCUUCUCAAUCCAACAAAUCCAAUCCUUCAACUUCCUUUCUUUGCUUAUCUUUUCCAGAUUUUCCUCUAUUUUUACUCUCUAAAAUAAUGACAAAGACUUUCAAAACCGUUUCCCAGAAAGAAGUUCCUUCUACUUCACGGUGUCAUGACCCAAAUCGAUGGGCCACGACGGGUGCUCGAGUCCUACCUGUCGAACAUCCUUAAGCAUGCAUCUAAGAUAAGAAGAGAGGAUAACAUCCUAUAUGUCCUGUAGACUCAUGUCUAUAAGUAUGGUGCACAACACACCCAUAAACAAGACUCUAUUAGACACGGUCUGUGGAUAACCCUAGGACAGACCUACUCUGAUACCACUUUAUGGGAAUGAAUAACAUAAACAUCUUUAACUGCUAAGAGUAGAAAAACUUAUGGAAUAUCAUUACGUUUACGUAUCAUUACUUGGAUCAUGCCAAAAGAAAAAAAAAUUAGCCUUAACAUACCUGAGUCGAUUCUCUUGACAAUACCUCUAACAUACGUUAGACGAAAGACAUAAUGGCGAGAUCGAAAUAGGGAACAAUCCAUAGAAAUGCUCAAAACAAUAACUUUGCUAUUGCAAAAUCCUCUUUUUUCAAACUCUUUCUCAAGGGAAUUAGCAUUAAUGUUAUGUAUGGAAUGCUUGCUGAAACUCUUCUUAGGAGAUUAGAGUUCACGUUACAUAAAAUGGAAAGCUUUGGCUGAAACUUUUCCUUAAGUAACUAUGAAAUGGGAAGCUUGAAUGACUUUUAGAAAAUGACGUUACUAAUGUUAUGGAAACUUUUGUUGAAAUUCUUUUCAUAAGAUAUUAUAGUUGUUAUUCUUACCUUUUUAGGUGGCCCCACAUAAUUAAGCUUGGUAUCACAAUUCAUUCUCAAAGUGUGACACUUUGCAACCGUUAAUACUUAGUCAUUAAAUGGAAAGGGAUGAUUGCCAUGUUAGGGGGAGGGGUUAAAUCUUAUCCCACUCUUUAAUUCGUUUACCCUUUAUCCUUCAUGACAUUUACUUAUUGCUUUUUAUAAUUAGCAUAAAUACAUAUAACCUCAAUAUAAUCUCGUCCCCGAAUCUACAUUGAUUAACUUACGAUAAUACUUUAACAUACGAAAAUGCGAGAUGUAACACGCGGCCGGUCACUGAGGUCUAAGAGACCGCUCCGGGCAUGGCGGUUGAUGAACGAGUACCCGAACCUCCCCUAAAAUGUUCAUCCCCGGGGGGACGCUCGGUCAAUGAUGAUUUCAGAAUUGAAAAGCCUUCCUCUGUACAGGGUCGGUGUAAGGAGGUCUCAAGAUACAUCUUCUCAAUUACUAAAGAGGUCCUGCCUACGGUCCGAAAAGAUUGAAACUGGGUCGAUAAAAACAUAGUGGUACAUGACCCCGAGAAGGCCAUUACCACACAUGUCGAGGGAUAUCUGAGUGUUUACACUUAUCCCUUUACAUUGGGACCAGUGGACUCGGUCAUUAUAGAUUUCUAUGAGAGAUACGAUGUAUGCCUCGAUCAGAUUCAUCCUUCAAUAUAGAGGAUCGUGAUCCUCCUGCGGCUUUUGUUGACAAAGUCGACUCAUGAUGUUUUACUGUGGAUCAUCUAUUCCAUUUGUACAGUCCCUGAAUAUUCCAAAGGGGCUGAUAAAGCUAGUGCGCCGGGUCAGGAAGGCCCCAUUCUCAAGUAUCGAUGAUCACCGGGAUUGAGGCUAGCAAGGCCUUUUUGUCCAAAUGAGGACUCCAAACUUGAUUAUGACUUAAUGCGGGCUAUUCCUCGAGAAGUGGAAUACGUCACAUAAGUAGAACUUUCCUUUGACUGUUGAUUUUAUGUUUUACUUCCCUUUUCCUUAUCGGUACUCAUGGUGAUGCAGCCGUCACUCGAGUCCCAAAUAUUGUCCCGCGACUCAAGGAGUGAGUCGAAGGUAUCAUUUCACAUAUGCCAUACUCUGAGCUCUCAUGGCACAAAAUUUCGAAGGGUCAUUGGGAGGCCCGUUCUCAUGGUAAGAUUCCCUUCUUAAAUAGGUUGUGUCAGGCCUUUUCUUUUAAUAACAAGUCCUUAUUUCCUUUACUUUCUUUCACAGGUUUGCCUAAGAACGUCGAUCUUAGGCCUCUAGUUGGUGGCGAGGACUUGCCUGUUAAGUCUCCUGCUCUAAGGUGGACCGAAGAGAAGAAAAGAAAGAGUACUCCGAGUUCCCCGAGCUCAAAGAAAAAGAAAACACGAAGAAGGCUGGUGCAUAAGACAAAGGAGAGCACCAGCCCCUGAGUGCUCGACUCGGACUCACUCCUCUAGCUCAGGGACGAGCCCGAGGAGGACGAUCUUUUUCUAGCCCAUGAGCAGUCUAUGCUCGAGGAACGGAUGACAGCUGAUGGGGAAACAACGGAGGCCAAUCCCUCUCAAGUUCAAGAGGCUAAUGCAGCAGUGAGGGUCGAGAACCCUCGAGAUGCUAGUUGACAUAACGAAAUCACCUUCAUUCACAGAAUCGAUAUUCGGUAAAGCUCAAGCACCAAAGGAGCAAUCGAAUAAGGGGUUCUAUGGAGCGAACGAUCCCUUUCAAAGAUUUUUCGAUGGCGUGGGCUCCAUUGCCAUGGAGGACGCCACCAGAUUAGGUGAAUUAGAAGUACCGAGGAAAAGUUUGUCUUCGGGGGAAAGUGGAUCUAAAUCAAGCCCGAGACUGGUCAACUGGUUCCCUACCCCAAGUGUGGAUCUUGGUCGGAAGUGGUCAAUUAUCAUCACCAUUUUGAAGGAUGCCCGGGUUCUUUCCACACUCGUUGGGGUAGCUAGUUAUCUCCGGUGCCUGGUAACCGAAGAAGACCAGGCAAAAAUGAACGAGUUGGAUUAUUCAUGCCUCUUCAACGAGGCACAACAUGCAUUGAACCGGGUAAGGUUUUACCAAACCUUUUAAUUUUUCAACCUUGGUUAUUGGUUAUCCUAAUAUUUCUUCUAAUAUUUGCAGGCCUUAGUGCUUCACCACGAUACCUUCCUUCGGUAUUGAGAUGAGCUGAGCCAAUUCGAGGCCGAAGUCAACGAGCUCGUUGAGAAGAGAGACAUGUACAAACUUCUCAGUGAGACAAGUGAAGGAGAGGCUAAGAGCCUUCGAGCCGAGUUGGACGUGUCUCGGAAAGAACACGUCGACCUGGUGGAAUAGGUAAAAUCUUUGAAGUUAGUGAUGAUGAGCUAGACAUGGUGACUAAUAGUCAAAACCCAUAGGUCCAAAUGAAGAUGGAUCGGAUCGACUAGCUCGGGGCCAAGAUGGAUGUAAUCAAGGUCAAUGAUGAAGAGUGGAAAGGAAAAAUGGACCUCUUGGCCUUGAAAAAGGAAACUCCCUGGGUGAAAUUGGCCUCGACAAAGGCUCAACUUAGAGCGAUGAGGGAGUAGGCUAAGGCACAGUCCCAAAAAAUUGAGGAGCUCAAGUCUUAACUAUCUCGGUUGUUGCCAAUCGGGAGACCCUCGCCAAGGAACAUAAAGCUGCCAAGUUGGUGGAUGAAAUAACUAAGUCUGAUGUCGAUGAGAUGGUGGCCCAGUAUAGAGCCGAUGCCGAGGUAGCCCAAGACCUCUUGAAAGACAUUGUUGAGAAUAAGAAGCGGCAUCCCCGAAGGGAGGCCCUCGAGGAGGUUCAUGCUCGGGAUUUUGAUUUAUCGACCGAGAUCAAAAGUGCUAAGGGGCUUGAGGCCGAGGCCAAGAAGUUGGCUUACCCCGAGGAUGAAAAAGACUUCGAGGGUCCAGGCAGAUCUAGGUGUAGAGAAGACCCUGAUGGUCCCGAUAAUGAGGCGGACUCCGGUGAGGACCAGGCUGCUUAGCUGCCUUGCAGAUGUUUUUGAUUUUUUGUUUUUUUGUCGAGAGUGUUUGGCCUUUGAAAAAUUUCUUGUCGAGGCAGUUUGGCCUUUGUAAAAAUCUUUUAAUAUAAUACAAGGUUUUCUUCCUUCAAUAAAUUUCAAACUUUUUCUUUACGAUUGAAAAGAUAUCAAAUGCCUUAGCACGUAAUAACUAUGUCUUAUUCGGACGUUCGAACAUGCCUCGUUCCUGAUAUUAUUUUGCUUAAGACUUGUGGGGGGCUCGGUACAACCAAAAGCUUUUCCCCAAAGUACUUAGAAUAUUUUAGAUUACAAUUUUGUCGAGGGUAGCCUUUUGAACUGGUUUAGAAAUUUUGAAGGCCUUAUGUUUUGGUUAUGGGUGUCGGACACCUCAGAACUGUUCUAGGAUAGUCGUAGCCUUUUUUCGUUCGGGUGUUUCCCAAUGGGCUUGUUACCCCAAGUCAUCUGGGCUUACUUUUGACAACCGUCCCCAAACGGGGAUGGCCGUAGCCUUUAAAGUACGGGCACUGCAUGAUAGGCUUUGUGUCCCCGGGCCUUGAUAUACCGCGUCGUUCAAGCCUACUUUGGACGACAGUCCCCGAGUGAGGUGGCUUUUGGGCUCGAUGUCUUUAGGGGACCAAAUGUAAGAAAGAAAACAACAAAAAAUUUAAGGGACAAAAUAUUUAUCCGUAAGGUAGAAACUUCCUUUCAUUUUUAUGCGUAAUGUACAAGGUUACACAUGUGUACAAGUUUUGUGUCACGUCUCAGGUGGUCUAUGUGGGCACAGUUCAUUUGACCGUUUGGCCCUUACAGUAAAUCCUAUCGACCGCGCCUAGACUGUUUGAUCACAAAUUUUCUUUCCUUGCUAAAAUUAUUCUCCAAGGGUGAUUCCCCCAGUAUUCGAGGCCUAUCAUAGAGAAGCCUCGGGUACUGUUGAUGCGAUUCUUGGCACUGAUUCAUAUCCGGUAUUCAAUUCUAAGUUAGCACGAUCUGUCGCUGCAUUAUUAAAAACCUUGUCGUAAAAUUCAUUUGGGACAAACCAGUUCAAGAAAAAAAGAGUGCAACACGUGCUUUCAGGCCUAAAAGUUGCAUCGUUUCUUGAAUAUUACCUGUAAAUGUUAGUUCAAUAAAUAAAUAAAAUAAAUGAAUGGGAUCAUACCUUAGCAUUGAUAUCGUUUCAAGUGAGCUACGUUCCAGUUGUUCGGUAGUUGCUCACCGUUCAUUGCUUCGAGUUUGUACGAUCUUUUUCCGGUUAUCUCGAUAAUUUGAUACGGACCUUCCCAGUUCAGUCCUAGCUUCCUUUCGUUUGGGUUCCGAGUGGUUAGUGUGACCUUCCUUAACACCAAGUCCCCGACAUUGAAGUGUCGAAGGUUGGCUCUUCGAUUGUAAUACCUUUCGAUCUGUUGUUUUUGGGCGGCCAACCAGACGAGGGCGCACUCGCGCCAUUCAUCUAAUAGUUUCAGGCUCGUAUUCAUGUCCUCGUCGUUCGACUCUUCGGUCGCAUAUCGGAAUUUGAGACACGGUUCUCCUACUUUGAACGGUAUUAGAGCUUCGGCAUCAUAAACCAAUGUGAACGGGGUGGCCCUGGUACUGGACUUCAAGGUCGUAUGGUAUGCCCAUAGGACUUCAGCAAGAUUUCUUUCCAUUUUCCUUUGGCUUCGGUCAAUAUGUUUUUGAGAUUUUGGAGUCUGGUUUUGUUUGUGGACUCCCCUUGCCCAUUCCCACUAGGGUGGUAGGAUGUUGAUAGGAUCCUUUUGAUCUUAUGGUCUUCGAAAAACUUACUUACUUUGCUAUCAAUGAACUGCUUCCCAUUGUCGCACAUGAUCUUGGCCGACAUUUCGAACCGGCAUAUUAUGUGGUCCCAGAUGAAAUCAAUGACUUCCUUCUCCCUGAAUUUCUCAAAUGCAUGGGCUUCCACCCAUUUAGAAAAAUAGUCAGUUAUAAACAAUAUAAAUUGAGCCUUACCGGGUGCCCAUGGAAGGAGGCCGACGAUGUCUAUCCCCUAUUUCAUUAACAGCCAGGGUGACAAGAUCGAAUGCAACAGCUCCCCGAGCUGAUGAAUCAUUGGAGCAUGCCUUUGACAUCCAUCACAUUUUCGUACGAACUCUUUCGCACCUUUUUCCAUGUCAAUCUAGUAGUAGCCAGCUCUAAUUAUUUUCCGAACCAAUGAUUCGGCGCCCGAAUGAUUUCCGCAUGUGCCUUCGUGGACUUCCCUCAGAACAUACUCGGUAUCUCCUGGUCCUGGACAUAUUGCAAGUGGGCUAUCUAACAUUCUCCAAAAUAGGGUACCGUCUUUGGACAAGCUGAACCGGGCCACCUUCGUACGUAGAGCCCUUGAUUCCUUGGGAUCCGAGGGCAGUGUUCCGGUAUCCAGGUACUCUAUAUGCUUGUUUCUCCAGUCCCAAGUUAGGCUUGUUGAGUUUAUCUUGGCAUGACCUUCUUCCACUAUCUAUCUCAUGAGAUGUACGACCGCCCCCGAGUUAAAAUCGUCGUUAACCGACGAUCCCAAGUUAGCAAGAGCAUCAGCCUCACUGUUUUGAUCCUGAAGCACAUGUUGUAAGGUACACACCUUGAACCGAUGUAAUCCAGGUAUCUGUUCAUUCGUUCCUCCCAGACUUCAAACAUCUCAUUAACUUAGUUCACCACAAGGAGGGUGUCAUGCUUAGCUUCGAUCACCUCUGCCCCCAAACGUUUGACCAGUUCGAGACUUGCAAUCAUGGCCUCAUACUCAGCCUCGUUGUUAGUCAAUUUUACAGUCCUGAUAGAUUAUCUAACUACACUAGAUGUUGGUGUCUUCAAUACUAUGCCAAGUCCGGAUCCCUUUGCGCUUGAGGAACCGUCCGUAAAGAGGGUCCAGAUUCCCGAAGAAGUCCCCGAGUUCAAAAACAACUCUCUUUUGACCUCGGUUAUCAAGGCCGACGUAAAGUCGGCCAUGAAGUCUGCCAAAAUUUGAGACUUAAUGGCGGUCUGGGGUCGAUACUCGAUAUCCUACCCACUGAUCUCCAUGGCCCAUUUGUCCAAGCGCCCCGAGAUGUUGGGUUUAUGCAUUAUGUUUCUCGGUGGGUAAUAUCACACCUCUUUUUUACUACCCCGGAAGGGUAUAAGUGAGUUUUUUCCAAUUUAAGUGACAAUCGAAAUGGGAUUUAUUUAUUUAUUUAGAGUCGCCACUUGAGAUAAUUUAUGGUGUCCCAAUUCACUAGUUUAGAAUCCCGAAUCGAGGAAUAUUUGGCUCUAAUUAUGGUCUGCGAACACAGAAAUCCGGGUAAGAAAUUCUGUUAACCCGAGAGAAGGUGUUAGGCAUUCCCGGGUUUCGUGGUUUUAGCACGGUCGCUCAACUGUUAUUAUUGGCCUAUUUAUUUGAUCUUUUACACGUUUUAAACCUAUUGUGUAUUUUUAACCUUUUAGCCACUUUUAUUUAUUUAAAGAAUCAAUUCAAGGUUACCUAAAACAUAUCGCGAGCUACGCUACAUGAAAUGCACCCGUGGUUCACAACACGUUCUAUUUAACCUUGUUGGAAAUUAGAACCGGGUCACAUGAAAUGUACCCCCAGGUUUUAGUAAUAGGUGUGAUAAUUAUAUAAUUGACGUGCCUAAAGCAACUACGAAGUUCAUUUUUAAUAUCUAAAUUAACAUUUGUGAGGGCCAUAGAUAAUUUAAUUUGCUUAUGGCAUACCUCAAAUCUAUUUCCUCAAGUACUGAUCAAAUGGAAUUGUCCCGUCAACAAAUUUGCUAAUAAAUGACAAUGAACAAUGGUGGCAUAUCUUCAACAGCAAUUAAGGCAUCGUUUGUCAUUAGUUUUUUUUUUGAAUUCCAAAGAAACUCCAAAAAAUCUUCCUUGGCAUGUGAACAUACUAAUGCGAAUUGAUAUGGAACCAUCAGUACAUUUUCUUCCCUUUUUUUCUUAGUCAAGCCUAAUUAAAAGGCUAAUGAUCCAACAAUGAUCCCAAAACUAACCGGUAGAGAACAUGAAAGCAACGUGAAUUCCAACUCAUGCGAACAUACUAACAAUCUCAAGCACACACACAACAAAGACUUCAUACCAUAAAAAAUUGAUAUACAAGAUUGAAGAGAAAGAUAAGAGUGAGAAACGGACCUCCAAAAUUAAUAUGAUUCUGUUUGUUUUGAAGCUUGACAAUGCACAGGACCGCGACCAGGCCUCGACAAGCGAAAGAUUGACCGAAACUCGUGGGAGAAACUCGAAUCUCACCGAUGACUCGAACUCUACUCGACCCGAAGAACAAUGAAUCUCAAAGAGCUGAUCGAAAGUGAAGUUUGAUGCGUUUUCGGGGUUGCGGCGGGGCUGAUUUGAGCCGAAUUUUCAUACGAUUUUUUUGAAGUUGUUUUCAGCUGGUUCUUGUAGAGAGAGGGACAGCGAUUUAAAGGUGAGCUCGUGGUUGUGCUUGUUCGAGGACGGAGUGGCUGGCCGUUGGAGGAGGGCAGCGGCGGUAGGGGGCUGGUUUUUUGGUGGUCGUUGUUUUGUCCUCAGCCGAUGCUCCUUUCAGCUCUUUUGGUCCCUAUCGGCGUUAGCUCUGGGCCUUUUCUGAAGAAGAUGAAGAAUAGUGGGGUGGGUUCUUUUCCUUGGUGUAGCGGCACUGAUCUCUUUUACUCUCUAGGUCUCUUAUGCUCUAGAGUGUUAUCGGUUGCUGCUGAUACUUUUAGCUCCUCUAGAAUUAUUGUUAGGUCUUCAAGGUUUUUCGGUUAGCUUCCUCAAAAAGAUGAUAUCGUGAGGGGUUCUUAUUUUGAGAAAACGGCGGAUUUGUCAUAGGGUCUA
This 8906-nucleotide long non-coding RNA is filed under the name Nicotiana tabacum (common tobacco). RNAcentral describes it as "long non-coding RNA (NTAB_LNC018940)". Lineage: Eukaryota; Viridiplantae; Streptophyta; Magnoliopsida; Solanales; Solanaceae. The record is from RNAcentral.